Molecule: long non-coding RNA, 1776 nt
Filed under: Homo sapiens (human)
Lineage: Eukaryota; Metazoa; Chordata; Mammalia; Primates; Hominidae
Description: HSALNT0006021
Source: RNAcentral
GUGGGCUGAAUCCAGAAAAGGGAAGAUUGGCAUCCAGAGUGUUUGGAGAGUGGGCCCAUAAGAGAACAUUGUGUGUGUAUGUGUGUGUGUGUGUGUGUGUGUGUGUGUGUGUGUGUGCACGUGCACGCACGUAUGUGUUGGGGGCUGUGUAGCUUCUCCUAACUUCACCAUGCAGAAGUCAAGGAAACGGUUACAGAGGCAAAAUGUGGGAGUAGCUAAUGGCAAUGGCCCAGAGAGAUGAAAAAAUGUGAGAAAACCAAAGCUUGGAGGUAGGAACUUUCCGAUUCUUUUGGAGUAGACUAAGGUGACUUAAGUAGGAAAAGAACGCAUAGCCAGUAACUCUCCCAACAGAACUGGAUUCGUGCCUGGGGUGAUUCAGGAUGUCCAGUUAAGCUGGGAAAUACUGAUUCCACUGAUCCCCUUCAUUCACUCAGAGCAGACCGAAGACUGUGAGACUUCCUCCCCACAGUGAGCUAAAAGGACGCUUUUGUCAGAGUGGGGAAAUAAAAGGGCUUUAUGGGAAGGAAGAUAAGAACAGAUGAGUCAGAGGUUUCUGCUUAAUGCUCACUCUUCAAUUCUUUCCCGAGCAAAACCAAGAAUCUUCUUGGGCUAAGCCCCAAUUUGGGGUUCACCUGCCUUGCAGCAACAUGGCACCAAACAUGCGGCAGAAGAGAGAAAACGACAGCAUGAGAGACGGAGAAAGAAAUGGCCAGUUGGCAAGGUGGUAAUGAGAGACAGCAGUUGGCAAGACAGUGAGAGACAGCAAGAGAUGGUGGUACAGCCAAGCAGACAGGCAAGUAAGUGGCCAUACUGCUACUGCCUCAUGUAGGAUCCGGCAGGCUGGUGGGUUAUCAGUCCUCACGUGGGACCCUCCCACCAUGGCAGCUGAGCACAUCCAAGCUGGGGGAUCCUGAAGAGACCUUCACCUGGGUGCCACGUGGAAGAUUGGCCAGCACCAUUUUGACUCCUGUGGAUGGCACCCAAACUGCACCUGGUCACCUGUCUACAUUCAGAUUUAGAUGAAAGCCACACCAUGGAGGCAGCCAGAGGCCCAUGGGAGAUGUCUGGAUUCGCAGAGGAAUAGCUCCAUGUGAUGCAAACCUUGACUAAUGGGAACAGGAAAAGGGAGGAAACCAGGAAGAUAAAUCUCCCUCCCUUCUCAUUGCUCCUUGCAACCCUUCCCACUUGAAGCAUGACCACAUUUAAUGAACAACCUGCUGUGUCUCUUGGAAGCUUGCUGCAAGGCAGCAAUCAGCACAAUAACAUUGUAUUGUAUCUUCCUCUGCUUCACUUCUCUUCCUCCCUCACCCUCACUGCCCUGAGCUGGCACAUCCCAAAGAAAGCAUUACCACAUUAAUCCUUGUCUCAGACUCUGCUUUCAAGAGGAUCUAGGUGAAGGAAAUUCCUAUUACUCCACCUCUUCAUCACCUCUUCAAAUGUCAGACUUUAAAAAUGGUGUCAUUUUGUUGAGUGUAUCUCAUUGUGGUUUUAAUUUGCAUUUUCCUGAUUAUGAAUGGGGUUGGCUAACUUUUCCUAUGUUUAUUGGAUUUCUUCAUUUUUGAAGUGCUUGUUUAAGUUUUCUACUAAUUUUUCUAUUGGGUUGUCUUUUUUUUUUCUUUCUUUCUUUUUAAGACAGAAUCUUGCUCUGUUGCCCUGGCUAGAGUGCAGUGAUGUAAUAAUAGCUCACUGAAACCUCGAACUCCUGGGCUCAAGCAAUUAUCCCAUCUCGGCCUCCCAAGUAGCUGGAACUACAGGUGUGCACCACUACCACCAUGC